RNAcentral lists this long non-coding RNA (847 nucleotides) under Nicotiana tabacum (common tobacco). Its description in RNAcentral is "long non-coding RNA (NTAB_LNC008826)". Lineage: Eukaryota; Viridiplantae; Streptophyta; Magnoliopsida; Solanales; Solanaceae. The record is from RNAcentral.
ACAUCUCUAAAGUAAUUUAACAUUUUUACAGCUUUAAAGUGGAAAAACUCGAAACUGUUUGCAAUUUUGCAUCAAAAGGUAUCACGACAAACUUGGCAAACAGCUUCACCCAUGAUGGUUGAGCUAAUAACCACAUGUAGGUCAAAACUGCAUGGUCUUGUUUAUGUUAACCCUGAAAAACUUUAGCAGCAGAUCAGCAUUGUAAUAAUUAAAUCUUUUCUUGGAACUCUUAGAAGUUAAAAAGAAGAAACAACAUAUUUAUGGAUGUAAACACUUUUGAUGCAAGGAAGAUUCAAGAGGUAUAUUGGCAUUCAAUCUUUGACAAUAUAGCACUAACCUUAUCAACAGGACCUUUAGCACCUCCUAUGAAUAUUUCAGCACUGCAAAUUAGGCCGCCAUGAAUGGGCCUCGAUCGGCGACGACCUCAAAAUCAAUCGAACUCCAUCAGUAGCGAGAAUCGAACAGAGGUCGAAGUUCUCUGUAUGAACAAACUCCAAUGUUCAAUUUCUAAAGUCAAUCACGAAAUUUGAAGAGCCCAGCUAAUCGUCUUCUCCAAGAGUGAGUUCAGGGGUCAUUGGUGAGGGAGAUGGCUGGAGAUCGGUGGUCUCUUAGGGUGUGUUUGGUUGUCCAGGAGCUGAACGGUGGAGGGCUGCUGUGUUCCGCAGCUGAUUUUAGUUGCUUGGGGUGUGGAUGAGAUGAGGAGUUCUAUUGUUUUUUCUUGUCCAUGGUGAAAGGGGAAGAAGAAAACAGAACCGAUGGGGAAGGGGUCUCUUGUGUGUAUUAGCUGCGCAGCUUUGUGCGUAUCUCCUUCUUCGUUAUUAUGCGCAGCUUUGCUGCUUUUUCGUUC